UUUUUUUUUCUGUUUUUUACUAUUGUAUAAUGUAGUUUUUUUACUAUUUUUAGUAAGUGUUUAAAAUAGUUAGUAAGUAAAUUAAUAAACUAGUUGAACUAGUUUACUUUUAGAAAGAACUAGUUUAUUUCUAUUUAUAGUAAGUUUAUUUUUAGUAAGAACUAGUUGAAUUAAGAACUAGUUGAACAUGUCACAUUUGUUGUUAUUUUUUUAGUUUAAGCAAUUAGUGAUGUUAUAUGUAUGAUACUACUCGGGAUGUAUUAGUGAUAACUUAUAGGGUUUUUGUUUUUGCAGAAAUCAAGGAGCCCCUCCAUCAUCCCCGCCGUCGUCCCCGUCACCGACCCCCUCCGACCUCGAGGUGAGACCAGCCAAAUCUCCAUGUCAAUAUUAAUCCUAUAAGAUAUGAUGUAGAUAAAAACAUGUAUAUCUUGUGUUGCUCAAAUAGGCCUAUGUAGAUAAAAACAUGUAUAUCCGAGUGGCCUAUGUUUUGCUGGAGUGUUGAUUAAUUUCCGUUCCGGCAAAUUUCAGGUGCUCGAUAUGUCCUGUUUUAGCAAAGGUUAUGCCGGAAUUUUCCGUGAAUUUUGGCAUGACUUGUGCUAGAAUAUGUAGGAAAUAUCGAGUGACCUAGAUUUUCUAAAAAGAUAAUUAAACGAUAUUUCGGUUGACUUUAAGACUGUCGAGGCCGAAGAAUCCCGAUUGUUGUCGUAGGGGUCGUUUAUCCUUCUUCUCCGGGUGCUAGAACUUUAUUAUGCACUAGGGGAAGGAGGAGUAACGACCAUCACCGACGGUCGCAAAUGUCAGAGAGGAAUAAGUGAGGGAGAUUAUCCACCAUAUAUGAGAGGACGAAGAAUCCCGACUGUUGUCGUGGGGGUAGCUUCUCCUUCGUUCCCAUGUGCUAGACAAUUUGGUGUAAUGCACUCGGGAACGAAAGGAGGAGCUACCAUCACCGAUGGUCGAAUAUAUACACCACGUGAGCUGAGAGUUUUCAAGAAAAGACUCGACAGACCCAUAGUCAACCCGUGAUGAAUAAUAAUGAUCUAAUUUAGUUUUUUUAGUACAUAUAUUUAAUUGUACAAGUUUAAUCUUUGAAUUAUGAACAUAGGAAAUGUUGUCGGACGAAGGUCCCGGGAAGUGCUCCUGGUGCGGCGACAACCGGGGUUUCUGCGACAGGCCUCACCUGGACAACGAUCGGCGCUUCAGCAUUAAGCUUGAGGAGGCCUUCAAUUGUGAAACGGUACACUAUGAUGCUAAAUGUUUUUCGUACUUAAGCUCGACUUCUACUACUUCAAUGUGUAAUUUUCGUCUUUUGCAAUUCGACUAGCUUAUCCAUGCCAUGCAAUACGCUAUGUCUUGGAGAAGAUGAGUUUUGAAGAUCAUGAGAGGAAUGAAACAAAGAAAAUUAACCUAAGGACCCAUCAUGGUAUGGAUUUUGAGGUAAAUCUAUACAAUUCUGAGAGCGUAUCCCGUUUUGGUUGCCCGGGUUGGGAAGCACUUGGCAAGAUGUAUGAUUUUCAAGAGGGUAUGUUUGUCACCAUGGAUCUUGAUGAUCCUGACAUCGAUCAAGAUAAUUUGGACAUUUGGGUUCUUGUUGAUACGCUUCCAUUUCUUUCGCUAUGUGAGUUCCUCAAACAUAGUUAUUAAGUAAUUUAUAUUGUUUAUUUCAAAAUAGUUGACAGCUUAUUUCCAUUGAUUGCUUAUUUUCAUGCUUCAAAGAGUGUGCGAAAGAUGGUAGACAGAACCAACUACACCGAUGGCUCUGAGUUAACUUAUCAAGAGAAAAAUCAUCUGAUCGCAUAUUGUACUGACAUUGAGAAUUACAAUGCCUUUUAUCGAACUCCUCCAAAUUAUGGUGAAUACGUGCCACCAGUGCACAUGUUGAAUAACGAUAACUUUCAUGGAGAUUUCUUGGUAACAUUUUUUACUAUUAUGACAUCCAUGCAUCUUUUGCAUAUUUUUAAAACUGAUCUACAUUGCUAACCACGAAGUUAUUACUAUGUUUUUCAACAGAAAAUCCCGAUGAAUUGUGUGCCUCAUUUGAUGUAUCAAAAUGGCCGCCUGAAUGUUUUGAACAUACGGCCAGGUCGUCCUGCGAAUCAUACCUGUGCAUACCGGGUUUCUAAAAAUGAUGAACACAUGAUAAUCAAAGAAUGGAAGAAAUGUAUGGACAUUCGUAAGGAGGUUCUUGGAAGCAACAUUGCGCGAAAGGUAAGGAUUGGAGACAGGAUAAUCUCCAUUCUCCAUAAUGGAGAGUCAGGGGCUAUCUUGUUUUAUGCUAUUUUACCCAAGAAAAUAUAGUAGGUCCUAAGAGAAUGUAGUAGGUUAUGAGGUACAAUAUGUUUAUGAGAGUUGAUGAUGAUGAGUAGUUGUGAUUAUGUCUAAUGACCAACUUGUAUGUGAUGUCUCAUUGAUGAAAACGAUUAUCAUGAGGAGGUGUUAUAUGACAAUGAUGUAUUAUGAAGAUAAGUUGUUAAUGAUAUGAUGAUGAUGAUGAUGAUGAUAUUUAUUAGAUCACUGGGUGAAAGAAACGUGGAUUAAUUUCAAGUGGAUGUUCAUCCACUUGAAACUAGUCCACGGUUCUUUCUCCCACCGAUGUAAUAACUCAUUAUGAUGUAAAAUCAUUCUCUAAAUUGCUGCGGUAUGAAAACUUGUAUAAAGGUGUAUGAAUACAACAUGAAAUAAAAAAGAAAUACGGAAUAAUAGUAGUAGCACGUGCUAGUAGAAGCGCUACUACUAAUUACCAGUAGCGCUCAUUUUAGAAAGCCCUGCUACUAAGUCGAUGUAGCAGUAGCAUGGUUCAGCCCACGCUACUGCUAACCUUUAGCUGAAGCGCCUUACUAGUAGCGCUGUACCCCGCGCUACUGAUAGGCUUCAAACACGCGCUACUGCUAGGGUUUUCCCUAGUAGUGUCACUGGCGCGGCAACGCCCCUCCUGAGGGGCGUCGGUGAUACCCCUUCCCCACUGCCAUCCGCGUACUGGGGAAAACCCUAGGACUUGUCCGGGCAGCAACAUCGUCGUCGUCGCAUUUCUUCAUGAAGAUGUUGCUUGGUAUGCGAGGCUUCAGAGUGCUUGGCGGGCCGUGGUACUUCUCCGGAGGGUGCAGCGGGUGUCGGCCAUCUUUGCUUAGUUGAGCUGCCGGCGUCGGCAUUUGUUUCUUUAUCUUUCUCUCCUUUUUCUUUUGGGCUUGUUUGUGCUGCGCCCCAGCAAGCUGGUUGUAUCGGUUGGAUGUUGCUUUAUAAUCUAAAGCGGGAGGAAACCCUUUUUCUUAACAACCAUAAAGCCGAAGACAAGACGUAUCCCAAAGUUCACACUCUUGCAGGAGUGCUAAUCUGCGUUAGUGAGAUGCGUGCGCCAACCUCCCGAACACCACCGAGGCUCACCUUAUUCUUCUCGAGCCUCCCACCAAAAGGAAGGACCUCAAUCCGUGUUUGGUCUUUAGGUGACCACCAAACCUUCACAAACUUUCAUUCGGCCUCUACAUUUCUAAAGGAAAACUCUGUUAGUGAGAUGCGAGUGCCAGCCUCCUGAACACCACCCAGGCUAGCCUUCUUCUUGAUCCUCCCACCAAAGGACCUGAAUUCACUACCGGUUGGUCUUUCGACGACAACCAAACGUUCACAAAACUUCCAUUCGACCUUUACAUUUCCAGAGGAAAACUCAAAAGUGCACAAUGCAUGCCAGAGAGCACCAUGCACGCAUCAGACCGCGGGUCUCAGCCAGGCCGGUUCCCAUCAGCAUCAUCAUCUGUAGUAGCAACUGUCAAUUCAGAGAACAAGCAAGCAAUCCCAUACUAUUGCUAGUAAUUGACAAACACUGGAAAGAUUCAAGAAGCUGAAUUCCCCUAUGCGAGCUCUACUUUUCCAAACUAAGAUACUCCCAAACAGCUGCAUGUAAAGGAUAAUGGAGCUUGUCAGCUCUGUGCUUUGGCCAGGCCCCUGGACCUGUAAGCUUUUCAAUUUUCUGCUUUAAACUCCAGUUUGUUUCUCUUUUUAGUUGUAUAAUCCUCAACUUGUGCCACUGAUGUCUUCAUGUCAACUGAAGCCUUCCUGAUGAUCUAUACAAAAGUAAAAGGGAUAUUGGACUGCAGAAGGGCAAGAAGUCAAUGUAAAAAAGAAAAACUUGACAAAGUGUCCAGCACAGGCCCUUGACCUUCAAAAUCCUACUACUGUAUAUCAAACAAAUGUAGCAUGAACUGAUCCCCAACACUGGUUUCUGGUGCCAAUUUUCCUCAACAUGCUACAAGCAGGAAAAAUGUGGCGAACGAAGUAUGCAGAAUAAACUGCAGGAACAAAGAUUACUUAAGAACCAAAACUGAUAUACUUUCUUCCAUCUCAUACACGAAUCAGUUAUCAGUGCCUGGCCCAGUGGCCCUACUCUUACACAAGUUUACAUCACAGCGCUCAGAACUACGUAGCAGUUACACAGUUCAUCGACAAGAUAGUAGCCACACAAUUCAUAACAAAAGUGUACCAUUGCGGGCACAGCUACCUGUGUUUUUCCCCACACGGGCACUAAAAGAAUGCUAUUCAGCUGUAUCUACACUUGCUGAACGCUCGCAAACCUCUGCAUCUAAACUCUAUCAAGCCUGCAGUUGCCAUCUACAGCAUUCACCGUCUCUUUCUAACUUCCUAUACAGUAGUUUGCGAAUCAUUCUCUAUACCAGAGUAACUAACAUGACUGACCUUGGCAACCAGCUAAGUAAGGACAAGCCAAUCAGGAGCACUGAAGUAUAUCUCGGCCUCCUCUCUCAGCAAACAAUGCAUGGCCAGUCGACGAGCAGCGCCAUUGGAAUCUUCCGUGAUGUGCUGCACUCUGCAACGUGAGAGCUGCAGUAAUGCCGUCAACUCUUCCAUAUCUCGGCAGGGAGCUUGAGCGCCGCCAAGUAGCAGGUCGACCAGAUGGAAUAGAUGGGACUCCAGCACAAUGCUAGUAGGUUGAUAGGCCAGAGCAACUUUGAUCCCUUCACAACAAGCAGCUGCAAAAAGAACCGUCUCCUCCGUGCUCCGCAUCGGAAAACAUAACGCGCAGAUGAACUGCCACGUUUCCCUCUUGAUCAACAAUCCCGCAGCACCUGUAGUGCCGUCAUCUGCCAUCAAACAAGCGACAUGGACCCGCAGUUCUUGCUGGCCUACUCCUAAUGCAGGUCCCUUUCCUUUGAUAUCUACUGUGGGCAGCACU
RNAcentral lists this long non-coding RNA (5176 nucleotides) under Triticum aestivum (bread wheat). RNAcentral describes it as "long non-coding RNA (TAES_LNC015823)". Lineage: Eukaryota; Viridiplantae; Streptophyta; Magnoliopsida; Poales; Poaceae. The record is from RNAcentral.